Long non-coding RNA from Cavia porcellus (domestic guinea pig), 430 nucleotides. RefSeq lists it as uncharacterized. The transcript is spliced from 2 exons. Lineage: Eukaryota; Metazoa; Chordata; Mammalia; Rodentia; Caviidae. The record is from RefSeq and is a predicted model, not a curated record.
GAUGUCCUAACGGGACAGUGGAUGGGCCCGGAUCCAGUGGUCAGCUGGAACCGAGGCGCGGUUUGUGUGUCCCCACAGGAAAAGGAACCACUGUGGGUACCGGAGCGAUUGAUAAGAAAGACUCCAAGCCCCACAAAGGAAGAAAAAGGAGAAGGGGACCAUAAUGCUAAGGACCAACUUGACAACGCAGAAGGAGAACAAUGACACCCUAGCCAAGGCACCGAACCACCUACUGCUGGGUGUGGACAGGACUAUAGAUAUAAGGACAGAGCAGGAGGUAGAGAGGAAGAGAAGACACGCAGACCAUAGAGAGUGGAGGACUACGCGGGGUUACUCAACAGAGAGAGCCCCACUGGAGAGUCCGAUCAGGGAGGAACGUUCCGGGGACGACCUGUGUGGAGAGUCAAUAAACGCGACCUCUGUCUCUGCA